This 1159-nucleotide long non-coding RNA is filed under the name Homo sapiens (human). RNAcentral describes it as "long non-coding RNA NONHSAT116537.2". The record is from RNAcentral. Lineage: Eukaryota; Metazoa; Chordata; Mammalia; Primates; Hominidae.
AUGGAGAUGAGCCUAGUCCUGCUGUUCCUGAUCCGCACUGCCCUUUUUGCACCCCAGGGAGCUGCUGCUGAGCCCCACAGUCUUUGUUACAACCUCACGGUGCUGUCCCGGGAUGGAUCUGUGCAGUCAGGGUUUCUCGCUGAGGGACAUCUGGAUGGUCAGCUCUUCCUGCUCUGUGACAGGCAGAAAGGCAGGGCAGGGCCCCGGGGACAGUGGGCAGAAGCAGUCCUGGGAGCUGAGACCUGGGACACAGAGACUGAAGACUUGACAGAGAAUGGGCAGGAGCUCAGGAGGACCCUGGAUCAUAUCAAGGGCCAGAAAGGAGCCUUGCAUUCCCUCCAGGAGAUUAGGGUUUGUGAGAUCAGGAAGCCAGCAGCACCAGGGGCUUUAGGCAUUUCUACACAUAUGGGAAGCUCUUCCUCUCUCCCAACCUGGAGACUCAGUAAUGGACAGUGCCCCGGUCCUCCAGAGCUCAGACUUUGGCUAUGAAUGUCACAAAUUUCUGGGAGGAAAAUGCCAUGCAGACCAAGACACACUAUUGCCCUGUGCAGGCAGACUACAUGCAAAAGCUAUGGUGAUAUCUGAAAUUCUGGAGGUAUCAGAAAAACAGGUACUGUGAAAGUAUGAAUGAGAUGCACAGUGGGGCCUUAGAAGGCAAUGUCACCAUGAUGUGCUGGCCUCCAUCUUCUAUCCCUGGAAUAUCUCUCUGACCUGGCAUCAGGAUGAGGCAUCUUUGAGCCAGGAUGCCCAGCAGUCUAGGGGUGUCCUGCCCAAUGGGAAUGGGACCUACCAGACCUGCAUGGCCACCAGGAUUCCCCGAGGAGAGGAGCAGAGGUUCACCUGCUACAUGGGACACAGAGGGAAUCACAGCACUCACCCUGUGCCCUCUGAGAAGGCCCUGGUGCUUCAGAGUCAAUGGCAGCCAUUCUGUAUGCUGCUAUUGCUACUGUCAUUAUUAUUAGUAUUAGUAGUAGUAGUAGUAUUCUCUGUGUCCUUUGGUGCAAGAAGAAGACAACAUCAGCUGCAGAGUCCAGAGCACGUGAGCCUGCAAGGCCCGGAUCAACGCCCGGUUGGGACAGGAGACCACCAGGGCAGUGCACAGCUGGGAUUUCAGUCUCUGGUGUCAACUCCUGGGUCUACUGGCUCCACUGAGGGCAGC